Molecule: ribosomal RNA, 433 nt
Filed under: uncultured bacterium
Lineage: Bacteria
Description: partial 16S ribosomal RNA
Rfam family: Bacterial small subunit ribosomal RNA
Source: RNAcentral
AACGAACGCUGGCGGCAUGCCUAACACAUGCAAGUCGAACGAGACCUUCGGGUCUAGUGGCGCACGGGUGCGUAACGCGUGGGAACCUGCCCUUAGGUUCGGAAUAACUCCCCGAAAGGGGUGCUAAUACCGGAUAAUGUCUUCGGACCAAAGAUUUAUCGCCCUUGGAUGGGCCCGCGUUGGAUUAGCUAGUUGGUAGGGUAAAAGCCUACCAAGGCGACGAUCCAUAGCUGGUCUGAGAGGAUGAUCAGCCACACUGGGACUGAGACACGGCCCAGACUCCUGCGGGAGGCAGCAGUGGGGGAUAUUGGACAAUGGGCGAAAGCCUGAUGCCGCAAUGCCGCGUGAGUGAUGAAGGCCUUAGGGUUGUAAAGCUCUUUUACCCGGGAUGAUAAUGACAGUACCGGGAGAAUAAGCACCGGCUAACUCCGUG